This 522-nucleotide long non-coding RNA is filed under the name Vigna radiata. RNAcentral describes it as "long non-coding RNA (VRAD_LNC004614)". The record is from RNAcentral. Lineage: Eukaryota; Viridiplantae; Streptophyta; Magnoliopsida; Fabales; Fabaceae.
UAUAUUGCAUCAUUUAUUUAUGCAGACUAACUCACUCCAUGCCAUGUGUGGCAUCACUGUGUAUCAUAUAUUUGAACAAUAGCCACACUAGUUCUAUAAGACCGGUUAUUAUUGUACCACCAAAGUACUUUUGUAAAUCUUGCUAAUUGAAGGAUUGAUAUAUCUGAUGAAAGAAAUCUUACUUUAGGACUGAAUUCAAUUGAGUCUUGCUUUUAUUUUUCUUGGGGUAUUGACUAAGUAGUCAAAAGGGAGAUGUUUUGAAGUAUUGAAAAUGAACUUUAUAAUCAAAAGUUGUCAGAUGCAUUUAUAAUCAAAUGUUAAUAUAUAAAAGGAAAUGUCUGUUAUCGUUAAAAAAAUAGGGUAGUUGAAAUUAGCAUAGCAGAUAAAUAAAAGAAAGAGAUGAAUAAUUUUGGUUAGAAGGAAAGAAGAGAAAGAGAAAAAGUUGAAGGAUUGGAAUUUAUGAUGAUUGGUGGAAAGGAAUACAGAGAAGUUAUCUUAGGGUUGUGAAGUUAAUAAUGAGUG